This 253-nucleotide ribosomal RNA is filed under the name uncultured bacterium. Its description in RNAcentral is "partial 16S ribosomal RNA". It matches the Rfam family "Bacterial small subunit ribosomal RNA", at positions 524 to 776 of the family's 1533-position model. The record is from RNAcentral.
UACGUAGGGGGCAAGCGUUGUCCGGAAUCAUUGGGCGUAAAGAGCGUGUAGGCGGUCCGCUAAGUCGGCUGUGAAAGUCCAGGGCUCAACCCUGGGAUGCCGGUCGAUACUGGCGGACUAGAGUCCGGAAGAGGCGAGUGGAAUUCCCGGUGUAGCGGUGAAAUGCGCAGAUAUCGGGAAGAACACCGACGGCGAAGGCAGCUCGCUGGGACGGUACUGACGCUGAGGCGCGAAAGCGUGGGGAGCGAACAGG